RNAcentral lists this ribosomal RNA (504 nucleotides) under uncultured bacterium. Its description in RNAcentral is "partial 16S ribosomal RNA". It matches the Rfam family "Bacterial small subunit ribosomal RNA", at positions 30 to 523 of the family's 1533-position model. The record is from RNAcentral.
AUUGAACGCUGGCGGCAGGCCUAACACAUGCAAGUCGAACGGUAGCACAGAGAGCUUGCUCUCGGGUGACGAGUGGCGGACGGGUGAGUAACGUCUGGGAAACUGCCCGAUGGAGGGGGAUAACUACUGGAAACGGUAGCUAAUACCGCAUAACGUCGCAAGACCAAAGUGGGGGACCUUCGGGCCUCACACCAUCGGAUGUGCCCAGAUGGGAUUAGCUAGUAGGUGGGGUAAUGGCUUACCUAGACGACGAUCCCUAGCUGGUCUGAGAGGAUGACCAGCCACACUGGAACUGAGACACGGUCCAGACUCCUACGGGAGGCAGCAGUGGGGAAUAUUGCACAAUGGGCGCAAGCCUGAUGCAGCCAUGCCGCGUGUAUGAAGAAGGCCUUCGGGUUGUAAAGUACUUUCAGCGGGGAGGAAGGCGGUGAAGUUAAUAGCUUCACCGAUUGACGUUACCCGCAGAAGAAGCACCGGCUAACUCCGUGCCAGCAGCCGCCGUAA